UGAGAGCGAGACAGAUCUGAGAGUGAGACAGGUCUGAGAGUGAAUCUGAGAGUGAGACAGGUCUGAGAGUGAGAUAGAUCUGAGAGUGAGACAUGUCUGAGAGUGAGACAGGUCUGAGAGUGAGUCUGAGAGUGAGACAGAUCUGAGAGUGAGACAGGU
Long non-coding RNA from Tachysurus vachellii, 159 nucleotides. RefSeq lists it as uncharacterized. The transcript has 3 exons. Lineage: Eukaryota; Metazoa; Chordata; Actinopteri; Siluriformes; Bagridae. The record is from RefSeq and is a predicted model, not a curated record.